UACGGAGGGGGCGAGCGUUAUUCGGAAUUAUUGGGCGUAAAGGGCGCGUAGGCGGCCCGCUAAGUCAAAGGUGAAAUCCCUCGGCUCAACUGAGGAACUGCCUUUGAGACUGUCGGGCUCGAGGCCGGGAGGGGGUAGCGGAAUUCCAGGUGUAGCGGUGAAAUGCGUAGAUAUCUGGAGGAACAUCAGUGGCGAAGGCGGCUUCCUGGUCCAACAUUGACAUUCAGGUGCGAAAGCGUGGGGAGCAAACAGG
This 253-nucleotide ribosomal RNA is filed under the name uncultured prokaryote. RNAcentral describes it as "partial 16S ribosomal RNA". It matches the Rfam family "Bacterial small subunit ribosomal RNA", at positions 524 to 776 of the family's 1533-position model. The record is from RNAcentral.